CAAGGAAUAGUUUAAGUAGAAUAUCAGCUUUGGGUGUUGAUGGUGGAGCUAGGGCUUCUUCCUUGAG
RNAcentral lists this transfer RNA (67 nucleotides) under Cynopterus sphinx (Indian short-nosed fruit bat). RNAcentral describes it as "tRNA-Pro". It matches the Rfam family "tRNA". From Rfam's summary of the family: Transfer RNA (tRNA) molecules are approximately 80 nucleotides in length. Their secondary structure includes four short double-helical elements and three loops (D, anti-codon, and T loops). The record is from RNAcentral. Lineage: Eukaryota; Metazoa; Chordata; Mammalia; Chiroptera; Pteropodidae.